GGAUGAACGCUGGCGGCGUGCUUAACACAUGCAAGUCGAACGGACUCAUAUUGAAACCUAGUGAUUUAUGAGUUAGUGGCGGACGGGUGAGUAACGCGUGGAAAACCUGCCGUAUACUGGGGAUAACACUUAGAAAUAGGUGCUAAUACCGCAUAAGCGCACAGCUUCGCAUGAAGUGGUGUGAAAAACUCUGGUGGUAUACGAUGGUUCCGCGUCUGAUUAGCUUGUUGGUGGGGUAAUGGCUCACCAAGGCGACGAUCAGUAGCCGGCCUGAGAGGGUGAACGGCCACAUUGGGACUGAGACACGGCCCAAACUCCUACGGGAGGCAGCAGUGGGGAAUAUUGCACAAUGGGGGAAACCCUGAUGCAGCGACGCCGCGUGAACGAAGAAGGUAUUCGUAUCGUAAAGUUCUGUCCUAUGGGAAGAUAAUGACAGUACCAUAGAAGAAAGCUCCGGCUAAAUACGUGCCAGCAGCCGCGGUAAUACGUAUGGAGCGAGCGUUGUCCGGAAUUAUUGGGCGUAAAGGGUACGCAGGCGGUUUAAUAAGUCGAAUGUUAAAGAUCGGGGCUCAACCCCCGUAAAGCAUUGGAAACUGAUAAACUUGAGUAGUGGAGAGGAAAGUGGAAUUCCUAGUGUAGUGGUGAAAUACGUAGAUAUUAGGAGGAAUACCAGUAGCGAAGGCGACUUUCUGGACACAAACUGACGCUGAGGUACGAAAGCGUGGGGAG
RNAcentral lists this ribosomal RNA (729 nucleotides) under Pseudomonas graminis. Its description in RNAcentral is "bacterial SSU rRNA". It matches the Rfam family "Bacterial small subunit ribosomal RNA", at positions 27 to 768 of the family's 1533-position model. Lineage: Bacteria; Pseudomonadati; Pseudomonadota; Gammaproteobacteria; Pseudomonadales; Pseudomonadaceae. The record is from RNAcentral.